Molecule: ribosomal RNA, 348 nt
Filed under: uncultured bacterium
Lineage: Bacteria
Description: bacterial SSU rRNA
Rfam family: Bacterial small subunit ribosomal RNA
Source: RNAcentral
AGAGUUUGAUCCUGGCUCAGGAUGAACGCUAGCGGCAGGCUUAACACAUGCAAGUCGAGGGGCAGCAUAAUGGAUAGCAAUAUCUAUGGUGGCGACCGGCGCACGGGUGCGUAACGCGUAUGCAACCUACCUUUAACAGGGGGAUAACACUGAGAAAUUGGUACUAAUACCCCAUAAUAUCAUAGAAGGCAUCUUUUAUGGUUGAAAAUUCCGAUGGUUAGAGAUGGGCAUGCGUUGUAUUAGCUAGUUGGUGGGGUAACGGCUCACCAAGGCGACGAUACAUAGGGGGACUGAGAGGUUGACCCCCCANACUGGUACUGAGACACGGACCAGACUCCUAGGGAGGCA